AUUGAUACUAAGCCAUGCAGUCAUUGUAGCAAUACAAGGCAGACGGCUCAGUAACGCGUAGUCAAUCUACCCUAUGGACGGGAAUAACCUCGGGAAACUGAGAAUAAUGCCCGAUAGAACAUUAUGCCGGGAAUGGUUUAUGUUUCAAAUGAUUUAUCGCCAUAGGAUGGGACUGCGGCCUAUCAGUUUGUUGGUGAGGUAAUGGCCCACCAAGACUAUUACAGGUACGGGCUCUGAGAGGAGUGGCUCGGAGAUGGGUACUGAGACACGGACCCAGGCCCUAUGGGGCGCAGCAGGCGAGAAAACUUUGCAAUGUGCGAAAGCACGACAAGGUUAAUCCGAGUGGUUUCUGCUAAAGAAACCUUUUGUCAGUCCUAGAAACACUAACGAAUAAGGGGUGGGCAAGUUCUGGUGUCAGCCGCCGCGGUAAAACCAGCACCUCAAGUGGUCAGGAUGAUUAUUGGGCCUAAAGCAUCCGUAGCUCGUUUUGUAAGUUUUCGGUUAAAUCCAUACGCUUAACGUAUGGGCUGCCGGGAAUACUGCAUAACUAGGAAGUGGGAGAGGUAGACGGUACUCGGUAGGAAGGGGUUCAAUCCUUUGAUCUAUUGAUGACCACCUGUGGCGAAGGCGGUCUACCAGAACACGUUCGACGGUGAGGGAUGAAAGCUGGGGGAGCAAACCGGAUUAAAUACCCGGGUUCUCCCAGCUGUAAACUAUGCAAACUCAGUGAUGCAUUGGCUUGUGACCAAUGCAGUGCUGCAGGG
RNAcentral lists this ribosomal RNA (764 nucleotides) under uncultured archaeon. RNAcentral describes it as "bacterial SSU rRNA". It matches the Rfam family "Archaeal small subunit ribosomal RNA", at positions 37 to 808 of the family's 1478-position model. The record is from RNAcentral.